RNAcentral lists this ribosomal RNA (1115 nucleotides) under Staphylococcus kloosii. RNAcentral describes it as "bacterial SSU rRNA". It matches the Rfam family "Bacterial small subunit ribosomal RNA", at positions 58 to 1159 of the family's 1533-position model. Lineage: Bacteria; Bacillati; Bacillota; Bacilli; Caryophanales; Staphylococcaceae. The record is from RNAcentral.
CGAGCCGACAGAUAAGGAGCUUGCUCCUUUGACGUUAGCGGCGGACGGGUGAGUAACACGUGGGUAACCUACCUAUAAGACUGGAAUAACUUCGGGAAACCGAAGCUAAUGCCGGAUAACAUGUAGAACCGCAUGGUUCUACAGUGAAAGAUGGCUUUGCUAUCACUUAUAGAUGGACCCGCGCCGUAUUAGCUAGUUGGUAAGGUAACGGCUUACCAAGGCAACGAUACGUAGCCGACCUGAGAGGGUGAUCGGCCACACUGGAACUGAGACACGGUCCAGACUCCUACGGGAGGCAGCAGUAGGGAAUCUUCCGCAAUGGGCGAAAGCCUGACGGAGCAACGCCGCGUGAGUGAUGAAGGUCUUCGGAUCGUAAAGCUCUGUUAUUAGGGAAGAACAAGUGCGUAAGUAACUGUGCGCACCUUGACGGUACCUAAUCAGAAAGCCACGGCUAACUACGUGCCAGCAGCCGCGGUAAUACGUAGGUGGCAAGCGUUAUCCGGAAUUAUUGGGCGUAAAGCGCGCGUAGGCGGUUUCUUAAGUCUGAUGUGAAAGCCCACGGCUCAACCGUGGAGGGUCAUUGGAAACUGGGAGACUUGAGUGCAGAAGAGGAAAGUGGAAUUCCAUGUGUAGCGGUGAAAUGCGCAGAGAUAUGGAGGAACACCAGUGGCGAAGGCGACUUUCUGGUCUGUAACUGACGCUGAUGUGCGAAAGCGUGGGGAUCAAACAGGAUUAGAUACCCUGGUAGUCCACGCCGUAAACGAUGAGUGCUAAGUGUUAGGGGGUUUCCGCCCCUUAGUGCUGCAGCUAACGCAUUAAGCACUCCGCCUGGGGAGUACGACCGCAAGGUUGAAACUCAAAGGAAUUGACGGGGACCCGCACAAGCGGUGGAGCAUGUGGUUUAAUUCGAAGCAACGCGAAGAACCUUACCAAAUCUUGACAUCCUUUGACCACUCUGGAGACAGAGCUUUCCCCUUCGGGGGACAAAGUGACAGGUGGUGCAUGGUUGUCGUCAGCUCGUGUCGUGAGAUGUUGGGUUAAGUCCCGCAACGAGCGCAACCCUUAAGCUUAGUUGCCAUCAUUAAGUUGGGCACUCUAAGUUGACUGCCGGUGAC